UACGUAGGGUGCGAGCGUUAAUCGGAAUUACUGGGCGUAAAGCGUGCGCAGGCGGUUUUGUAAGCCAGGUGUGAAAUCCCCGGGCUCAACCUGGGAAUGGCAUUUGGGACUGCAAGGCUUGAGUGCGGCAGAGGAGACUGGAAUUCCUGGUGUAGCAGUGAAAUGCGUAGAUAUCAGGAGGAACACCGAUGGCGAAGGCAGGUCACUGGGCCGCAACUGACGCUGAGGAGCGAAAGCAUGGGGAGCGAACAGG
RNAcentral lists this ribosomal RNA (253 nucleotides) under uncultured bacterium. Its description in RNAcentral is "partial 16S ribosomal RNA". It matches the Rfam family "Bacterial small subunit ribosomal RNA", at positions 524 to 776 of the family's 1533-position model. The record is from RNAcentral.